RNAcentral lists this ribosomal RNA (507 nucleotides) under uncultured bacterium. RNAcentral's name for it is "partial 16S ribosomal RNA". The record is from RNAcentral.
GGAGUUAGCCGGUGCUUCUUCUGUGAGUGAUGUCCUUCCUGCCGGCUAUUAACCCGCAGGCCUUCUUCCUCACUGAAAGUGCUUUACAACCCGAAGGCCUUCUUCACACACGCGGCAUGGCUGGAUCAGGGUUGCCCCCAUUGUCCAAUAUUCCCCACUGCUUCCUCCCGUAGGAGUCUGGGCCGUGUCUCAGUCCCAGUGUGGCUGAUCAUCCUCUCAGACCAGCUACGGAUCGUCGCCUUGGUUAGCCGUUACCUCACCAACCAGCUAAUCCGACAUAGGCUCAUCCGAUAGCGCGAGGCCCGAAGGUCCCCCGCUUUCCCCCGUAGGGCGUAUGCGGUAUUAGCCUGGGUUUCCCCAGGUUAUCCCCCACUACCGGGCAGAUUCCUAUGCAUUACUCACCCGUCCGCCGCUCGCCACCAGGGAGCAAGCUCCCCGUGCUGCCGCUCGACUUGCAUGUGUUAGGCCUGCCGCCAGCGUUCAAUCUGAGCCAGAAUCGAACCCUGA